Gymnogyps californianus (California condor) is the source of this 153-nucleotide long non-coding RNA. RefSeq lists it as uncharacterized. The transcript has 3 exons. The record is from RefSeq and is a predicted model, not a curated record. NCBI's taxonomy places the organism in Eukaryota, Metazoa, Chordata, Aves, Accipitriformes, Cathartidae.
CAAAAUGGAGGAAGCAGGAUGUCAGCGUGAAGGAGAGGCACAAAAUUCUCUGCUGCUCAUCAGGUGUUCAUUUAGGAGGAUUUUGUGAGAUUGUUUGAGGUCUCUGGAAAGAGCCUUUGUUUAACAGGAAGGAAUCUGAAUGAUAUUUAAAGA